RNAcentral lists this ribosomal RNA (495 nucleotides) under uncultured bacterium. RNAcentral describes it as "partial 16S ribosomal RNA". It matches the Rfam family "Bacterial small subunit ribosomal RNA", at positions 28 to 507 of the family's 1533-position model. The record is from RNAcentral.
GACGAACGCUGGCGGCGUGCCUAAUACAUGCAAGUAGAACGCUGAAGGAGGAGCUUGCUUCUCUGGAUGAGUUGCGAACGGGUGAGUAACGCGUAGGUAACCUGCCUGGUAGCGGGGGAUAACUAUUGGAAACGAUAGCUAAUACCGCAUAAGAGUAGAUGUCGCAUGACAUUUGCUUAAAAGGUGCAAUUGCAUCACUACCAGAUGGACCUGCGUUGUAUUAGCUAGUUGGUGAGGUAACGGCUCACCAAGGCAACGAUACAUAGCCGACCUGAGAGGGUGAUAGGCCACACUGGGACUGAGACACGGCCCAGAAUCCUACGGGAGGCAGCAGUAGGGAAUCUUCGGCAAUGGACGGAAGUCUGACCGAGCAACGCCGCGUGAGUGAAGAAGGUUUUCGGAUCGUAAAGCUCUGUUGUAAGAGAAGAACGAGUGUGAGAGUGGAAAGUUCACACUGUGACGGUAUCUUACCAGAAAGGGACGGCUAACUACGUG